GAGGAGAGCAAAGACCCACAAUGGCAGUGCCUGGCUGAUGGAGCCGAAGGAGGGCUGGGACCCCAGCAAUGGGCUGGAUGGGCAGGAGAGCCGAGCCCCAGUCAGGCAGCACCUCCACACCGGGGUUUCAAUUCCUCCGAUUCACACUGGCCUGCUGUAGCAGAAACUGCACUCAAACUCCCAGCCCCACAGGCUGCUUUCAGUUCUGGGUCGCGCGAGGUAGACGGACCUCAGGCAGGCCGGCGUGGGCUCACCCAGACCUCAGGCGGGCCGGAGUGGGUUCACUCUGGCAAGCCCAGGGCCAGGCAGGCCAAAUGGGUGGGGGAGGAGGCUGCCUGUGCUUGUGGGGGCAGAGCUGGGGCACCCUGGACGUCACAGCCCUCUAAGCGGCUACCCCCAGCCAGACCCUGCAAAGCUUCCUGAGCAAUCAGAUCCCAGACAGUUCUAUGAAAUUUCUAGCUUCUAAUGCUGGCUCAGCUGGAAAGAAGAGAAAGAGCGUUCAAGCUAAUGUCGGCCGAGCUGCCCCUACGGCUGGGUUCAGGGCUUCUGAAUAAUGCCUGGGAACCAGCAUACAGACCAGGAAGUUUACUCCAGGACUUUUAGAACCGCCCAACACAUAGCUGACACAUCAACUCCGAAAUCAGACUGCACCAGGAGGGCGGGCACCGAAACCAAAUGCGCCUGACAGCACCCUCCUGAGUUCACGCACUCACUAGGAGAAGAUAAUCAGAAUCCAGCCCCGGAGGAAGGGCCCCGGUUACUUUCUCCCCACUCUCGAAGUUCGCAUCUUUCGGAAUAAAACCACUGAAACACCAUCAGGGCUGCGUGCGUUACCUGCGGCCACUUUCCAUUUGACUGCGCACGUCUCUUGAUUUCUUCUACUGUUUUCCUGCGAGAAUCCUGGUCUGACCGGGACACGAACACAGGCCGUAUAUACCGGAUCAGAGCUGGAAGAGAGGAGGGGAGAGGAUCACGUGGAAUGCACGGCUCCCGCCAGGUCCGUGGAUUAUCUCUGAAAUGACAAGAAACACACAGGGCUCCACGAGGGCCCUGCACACAGCAGCAGGGCUAUGGCCAUUCUUCCUGCUGCGCCGAGAUGAAGGCCAGUGCUGGGUCACCUGGGUUGGUCCGGAAGAGGUGGAAUCCCGGGCCUCUAGAAAGAUGGGACUACAACGUCCAGCGUCAUCGCACCAAACACUCCUUCGUGCUGGCGAUCUCCACAGGGAGGCACCAAGGGGCACAGGGAGAGCCCGGCCAACGCUCAGGUUCACUCUGGGUGGGCCAGCCCCCCGUCCAAGGACCCCUGCAGCUGCAAGGGUGCCUGGGCACAUGGCUCCACAAUCCCCCUCCCUGAGCAGAUGACGACAACCACGGGCUUUUGCCACGGUGGGGGCGCAAACGUGGUUUCCCGGGUAUGCCAGAACCACAGGAUGCAAAGGGUGCUGAGUGGAGCUGAGGCUGCCCCAUGAGCCUGUGGAGCUUACAGAGCGGGGAAACCUGCGUGUGAGAGCCAAGGCCAUCACUCGGAUGGUGCCUGCAGUCCAGUCUCGCCUCCAGUGCCGGCCUGUCCAGCCUCCUCCAGGCUUCCCCAGCCAGCUGAGUGCUGCGAGCCCUCCAGUCCCACCAAGGACCAUCCCUGAUUUCCAAGCCUGACCCAGGCAGACUCAGGCCACCCACAACUGCCCAGCUGCAGGCACAGUCUGGACACCCCCCAGCUGCUGCAGGCCCAAUCCCCCACGGGCCGUGCCGGGGUUCCUCACCCCACUUCCAGCCUUCCUAUCCCAGCUGUGGCCGCCACCCUCAGUGGUCAGCACCACAGAAUGUGUCCCCACCCAGUCCAUACUGAAUGUGUCCCCCCAGAUAUUCUCUAGAAAACUGUUACAUGAAUGCUAACGUUAGGUGCUGCAUGGAAACAGAGCCGGCAGGAGCGCCCAGGUGAGGGCCCCGGCCACAGGUGACGCCCCUCCUCCCGGCAGCUCCUUCCCUCAGCACCGCCCACUGCCAACCCAGGACCCGCUGUGCCCCAGAACGUGCUGUGCUGUGCUGACGGUGCCUGCGAAGGAAGCACGAGGACAGAACGGGCCCAGCUGCCCUGAAGAGCACCAAAGACAGCGCUCUGGCAGGUCAGGGCUGCGCACAGGUGGGUGAGGGGCCACACAGGGCUCCAGGGCUCCCUACAGUCCUCGCAGAGCAGUGGGUCCAUGGGAUGCCGCCCCCAAAGAUGGGUCCACAUGCUGACCCUGGAACCUGUGAAUGGGGCCUUAUUUGGAAAAAGGUUUUUACAGAGGUAACUGGUUAAGGAUCUGAAGACAAGAGCAUCCUGGAUCACCCAAUGACUGGUCCUUAUAAGAGACACACGGAGGAGACACUUGGAGGGAGCCAGGCCAGUUGCCCACUGAGGCAGAGUCAGAGCGAUGCAGCCACAGCCCAGGAUCGCCUGCAGCCCCCGGAGGAGGAAGAGGCAGGAAGGGGCCCCACAGGGCCUUCGGCCCAGAGACGCCUUGAUUUUGAACAUCUGGUCACCAGAUGACGAGAGGGUGAAUCUCUGCUGCAGUGAGUCCCCGGCUUUGGGGAGGGGUCACGGCAGCACCAGGUGCUCAGGCCCCUGGGUUCACGGCACAGCCCCGGUGCAUGGGCAGCCCUGCCGACCUACUCCCAAAGACUUCCAGAACUGCCAUCUGAUAAAGGUGACCCACCCUUGCCAAGCAGACCUGGAGCAAGCACUGUAGCCUGUUAUGAUAGUGAGGGCACUCAGGUACCAAUAAAAAUAACAAUUACAACAAUGAAAAUUACACAGGAAACCACAACACAGAAAAUGGGGCACAAGGCCAAUAUGCCCGGCGGUGGGGGCUCGAUCACUCCCAGCAGCGUGGGGGGGGUCCCUCACUCCCGGCAUGGGGGUCUCACUCAUUUCCCCUCAUUCCUAGCAGGGAAGGGAUCUCUCAUUCCCAGAAGGGGGGGUCCCUCAAAACCAGCAGGGAGUCCCUCACUCCGAGCAGCAGAGGGGGUCUCAUUCCCAACAGAGGGGGGACCCUCACUCCCAGCAGGAGGGGAAUCUCUUAUUCUCAGCGGCAGGGAGAUCUCAUUCCCAGCAGGGCGGGGUCCCUCACUCCCAGCAAGGGGUGUCUCACUCACUUCCCCA
Molecule: long non-coding RNA, 3142 nt
Organism: Symphalangus syndactylus (siamang)
Lineage: Eukaryota; Metazoa; Chordata; Mammalia; Primates; Hylobatidae
Source: RefSeq, a predicted model, not a curated record